UGAUAAAUACCCACCAUUUGCUUCAAUGUGGAUAGAACUGGAGACUAUUAUGCUGAGUGAGUGUUGAGAAGAGAACAUUAGCCAACUCAGCAAUGUUGCUUGUAAGAGGUGAAUUUACAAGGACUACCUGAGAGGAGAGGUUGGAGACUGAUUGGAACCCCAGGGAUGAAGAGGAGAUGCUUCAAGGUUACCUUAGAUGUGUGAGGCGUCAGAAUUUGAGUGGGAUCAGACACCUCCCAUAUCACUCUCAUGCCCACUUUUCAGCUUGAUCCACAUGGAUUCCAUGUUCUCUAUUAGGAUUUGGACUAAUAUGUCUUUCGAAGAAUGGAUUUCAUGGCUCUAGGUCUAUACCUAUGAGAAAAACUGUGAUCUAGAUCAAGAGUUGGUAAAAUUUUCUGUAAAAGGCCAGAUAAUAAAUAUUUGAAAUUUUGUAGGUUA
Molecule: long non-coding RNA, 438 nt
Organism: Canis lupus familiaris (dog)
Lineage: Eukaryota; Metazoa; Chordata; Mammalia; Carnivora; Canidae
Exons: 3
Source: RefSeq, a predicted model, not a curated record